GACGAACGCUGGCGGCGUGCUUAACACAUGCAAGUCGAACGAAGAGCGAUGGAAGCUUGCUUCUCUCAAUCUUAGUGGCGAACGGGUGAGUAACGCGUAAUCAACCUGCCCUUCAGAGGGGGACAACAGUUGGAAACGACUGCUAAUACCGCAUACGAUCUAAUCUCGGCAUCGAGGAUAGAUGAAAGGUGGCCUCUACAUGUAAGCUAUCACUGAAGGAGGGGAUUGCGUCUGAUUAGCUAGUUGGAGGGGUAACGGCCCACCAAGGCGAUGAUCAGUAGCCGGUCUGAGAGGAUGAACGCCACAUUGGGACUGAGACACGGCCCAGACUCCUACGGGAGGCAGCAGUGGGGAAUCUUCCGCAAUGGACGAAAGUCUGACGGAGCAACGCCGCGUGAGUGAUGACGGCCUUCGGGUUGUAAAGCUCUGUUAAUCGGGACGAAAGGCCUUCUUGCGAAUAGUGAGAAGGAUUGACGGUACCGGAAUAGAAAGCCACGGCUAACUACGUG
This 509-nucleotide ribosomal RNA is filed under the name uncultured bacterium. RNAcentral describes it as "partial 16S ribosomal RNA". It matches the Rfam family "Bacterial small subunit ribosomal RNA", at positions 28 to 507 of the family's 1533-position model. The record is from RNAcentral.